Molecule: ribosomal RNA, 380 nt
Filed under: Listeria monocytogenes
Lineage: Bacteria; Bacillati; Bacillota; Bacilli; Caryophanales; Listeriaceae
Description: partial 23S ribosomal RNA
Rfam family: Bacterial large subunit ribosomal RNA
Source: RNAcentral
GUGGAUGCCUUGGCACUAGGAGCCGAAGAAGGACGGGACUAACACCGAUAUGCUUUGGGGAGCUGUACGUAAGCGUUGAUCCAGAGAUUUCCGAAUGGGGGAACCCACUAUCUUUAGUCGGAUAGUAUCCUUACGUGAAUACAUAGCGUGAGGAAGGCAGACCCAGGGAACUGAAACAUCUAAGUACCUGGAGGAAGAGAAAGAAAAAUCGAUUUCCUGAGUAGCGGCGAGCGAAACGGAAAGAGCCCAAACCAAGAAGCUUGCUUCUUGGGGUUGUAGGACACUCUAUACGGAGUUACAAAAGAAAGUUAUAAAUGAAGCGGUCUGGAAAGGCCCGCCAAAGACGGUAACAGCCCGGUAGUUGAAAUGGCUUUCCCUCC